UACGAAGGGGGCUAGCGUUGCUCGGAAUUACUGGGCGUAAGGCGCACGUAGGCGGAUUGUUAAGUCGGGGGUGAAAUCCUGGAGCUCAACUCCAGAACUGCCUUCGAUACUGGCGAUCUCGAGUUCGGGAGAGGUGAGUGGAACUGCGAGUGUAGAGGUGAAAUUCGUAGAUAUUCGCAAGAACACCAGUGGCGAAGGCGGCUCACUGGCCCGAUACUGACGCUGAGGUGCGAAAGCGUGGGGAGCAAACAGG
RNAcentral lists this ribosomal RNA (253 nucleotides) under uncultured bacterium. RNAcentral describes it as "partial 16S ribosomal RNA". It matches the Rfam family "Bacterial small subunit ribosomal RNA", at positions 524 to 776 of the family's 1533-position model. The record is from RNAcentral.